GACGAACGCUGGCGGCGUGCUUAACACAUGCGAGUCGAACGGAAAGGCCCUGCUUUUGUGGGGUGCUCGAGUGGCGAAAGGGUGAGUAACACGUGAGUAACCUGCCCUUGACUUUGGGAUAACUUCAGGAAACUGGGGCUAAUACCGGAUAGGAGCUCCUGCUGCAUGGUGGGGGUUGGAAAGUUUCGGCGGUUGGGGAUGGACUCGCGGCUUAUCAGCUUGUUGGUGGGGUAGUGGCUUACCAAGGCUUUGACGGGUAGCCGGCCUGAGAGGGUGACCGGCCACAUUGGGACUGAGAUACGGCCCAGACUCCUACGGGAGGCAGCAGUGGGGAAUAUUGCACAAUGGGCGGAAGCCUGAUGCAGCAACGCCGCGUGCGGGAUGACGGCCUUCGGGUUGUAAACCGCUUUCGCCUGUGACGAAGCGUGAGCGACGGUAAUGGGUAAAGAAGCACCGGCUAACUACGUG
RNAcentral lists this ribosomal RNA (468 nucleotides) under uncultured bacterium. RNAcentral describes it as "partial 16S ribosomal RNA". It matches the Rfam family "Bacterial small subunit ribosomal RNA", at positions 28 to 507 of the family's 1533-position model. The record is from RNAcentral.